This 482-nucleotide ribosomal RNA is filed under the name uncultured bacterium. RNAcentral describes it as "partial 16S ribosomal RNA". It matches the Rfam family "Bacterial small subunit ribosomal RNA", at positions 28 to 506 of the family's 1533-position model. The record is from RNAcentral.
GACGAACGCUGGCGGCGUGCUUAACACAUGCAAGUCGAACGCUGAAGCUCAGCUUUUGUUGGGUGGAUGAGUGGCGAACGGGUGAGUAACACGUGAGUAACCUGCCCCCUUCUUUGGGAUAACGCCCGGAAACGGGUGCUAAUACUGGAUAUUCACUGGUCUUCGCAUGGGGGUUGGUGGAAAGGGUUUUUCUGGUGGGGGAUGGGCUCGCGGCCUAUCAGCUUGUUGGUGGGGUGAUGGCCUACCAAGGCUUUGACGGGUAGCCGGCCUGAGAGGGUGACCGGUCACAUUGGGACUGAGAUACGGCCCAGACUCCUACGGGAGGCAGCAGUGGGGAAUAUUGCACAAUGGGCGCAAGCCUGAUGCAGCGAUGCCGCGUGAGGGAUGGAGGCCUUCGGGUUGUGAACCUCUUUCGCUCAUGGUCAAGCCGCAACAAUGGUUGUGGUGAGGGUAGUGGGUAAAGAAGCGCCGGCUAACUACGU